AACGAACGCUGGCGGCAUGCCUAACACAUGCAAGUCGAACGAGACCGUCGGGCCUAGUGGCGCAGGGGUGCGUAACACCUGGGAACCUGCACGUAGGUUCGGAAUAACUCCCCGUAAGAGGUGCUAAUACCGGUUAAUGUCAUCCGAGCAAGGAUUUAUCGCCUUUGGAUGGGCGCGCGUUGGAUUAGCUAGUUGGUAGGGUAAAAGCCUACCAAGGCGACGAUGCAUAGCUGGUCUGAGAGGAUGAUCAGCCACACUGGGACUGCGACACGGCCCAGAACGCUACGGGAGGGAGCAGUGGGGAAUAUUGGAGAAUGGGCGAAAGUCUGAUCCAGCAAUGCCGCGUGAGUGAUGAAGGCCUUAGGGUUGUAAAGCUGUUUUACACGGGAUGAUAAUGACAGUACCGGGAGAAUAAGCUCCGGCUAACUACGUG
RNAcentral lists this ribosomal RNA (433 nucleotides) under uncultured bacterium. RNAcentral describes it as "partial 16S ribosomal RNA". It matches the Rfam family "Bacterial small subunit ribosomal RNA", at positions 29 to 507 of the family's 1533-position model. The record is from RNAcentral.